RNAcentral lists this ribosomal RNA (492 nucleotides) under uncultured bacterium. RNAcentral's name for it is "partial 16S ribosomal RNA". It matches the Rfam family "Bacterial small subunit ribosomal RNA", at positions 29 to 507 of the family's 1533-position model. The record is from RNAcentral.
AGUGAACGCUGGCGGUAGGCCUAACACAUGCAAGUCGAACGGCAGCACAGUAAGAGCUUGCUCUUACGGGUGGCGAGUGGCGGACGGGUGAGGAAUACAUCGGAAUCUACUUUUUCGUGGGGGAUAACGUAGGGAAACUUACGCUAAUACCGCAUACGACCUACGGGUGAAAGCAGGGGAUCUUCGGACCUUGCGCGAGUGAAUGAGCCGAUGUCGGAUUAGCUAGUUGGCGGGGUAAAGGCCCACCGAGGCGACGAUCCGUAGCUGGUCUGAGAGGAUGAUCAGCCACACUGGAACUGAGACACGGUCCAGACUCCUACGGGAGGCAGCAGUGGGGAAUAUUGGACAAUGGGCGCAAGCCUGAUCCAGCCAUACCGCGUGGGUGAAGAAGGCCUUCGGGUUGUAAAGCCCUUUUGUCGGGAAAGAAAAGCAGCAGGUUAAUACCCCGCUGUUCUGACGGUACCCAAAGAAUAAGCACCGGCUAACUUCGUG